AAAAUUCUUUAUUCAAACAUAGCAGUUAUGAGACUCUUCCUUUUCAUUUCUUUUUCAGCUCAUUAAUGCAAGUAGAAUGGAAAGAAAACAAUUUACUCUUUUGAUUGACUUUACUGAAGUACACAGCAGAGGUCUUCGAUAUCAAUACAGUCCAUUUUUACUGUGAUUUGUGGUAUCCCCACCUGGCCUUCAUUCUCACUGGAGGGAUGUGCUCCCCAAGAGAAGGGUCUCUG
Molecule: long non-coding RNA, 233 nt
Filed under: Vulpes vulpes (red fox)
Lineage: Eukaryota; Metazoa; Chordata; Mammalia; Carnivora; Canidae
Description: lncRNA (ENSVVUG00000028793.1)
Source: RNAcentral